This is a long non-coding RNA of Melospiza melodia melodia, 1554 nucleotides long. RefSeq lists it as uncharacterized. The record is from RefSeq and is a predicted model, not a curated record. NCBI's taxonomy places the organism in Eukaryota, Metazoa, Chordata, Aves, Passeriformes, Passerellidae. The transcript has 3 exons.
AUCAGCCUGGAUGGAUCACCCUGGAUGGAUCCUCCUGCUCCAGCCCAGAGCCAGGUGACGAUGGAUCAGCCUGGAUGGAUCAGCCUGGAUGGAUCCUCCCCCAAGCCCUGCCCUUGCUGCUGGCCCAGGUAGAAGAAUCCUGAAAAGCUGCACUUUGGUGGAGAUCAUUGAGCUGUGGUGAACCCUGGAGCCAGGAGGUUAUAACACCCAUCCUGCAGGUGAUGUCCACCACCCCAGCAGAUCUAACUUAGAGACUGGGAACAGAGCACUGGUGGAGCUCCUUCCUGCUGCUCCAGCAGAGACAGCAACUGCCCCCUCAGGGUGCUGGCUCCAGGCUGGGCAAGGGCUAUCCCACAGAUGCACUUCCCUCAUGGAUGGAAUUCCCAUGGCUGAUGAUGCUGGCACUGGGGCCAAAGUCCCUGCACUUUUACUUGACACCAAAAAUAUGCCCUUGAAAAGAACGACACUGUCCCUGCACAGCUGCUGCUCCAUCCUGCUCAGAAUCCCCUCCUGAAGAUCCUGACAUCCUGACUCACCUUCUGUGAGAUUCCCUCUUGAUCUACGUGCAGAAAUCCUGGAUUUGGGGGCCACCCACUCUACAUCCUGUCUGUGACCACCCCGUGGGCUGUUUGCUGGGCUCCCAGCAGAGCUGAGCUGCUGGUGCAAGUGAAAGCAAAGUCAGCAGAAAUGCACCUUUUGCAAAGUACAGCUGCAAACCUGCAGACCAUGAAGUCAAAUUUAAAGCCUUCAGCCCAUGAAGUUAAGUUUAAAACCUUCAGCCCAUGAAGUCAAGUUUUAAUCCAGACUACCACCUGAAUUAGGAAUGAAAACCACCUCAGGAUUCUCAUUAGCAAAAGCAAGUCCAAGCAAUCCUGCUAUUUUUGUCAUCUCAUGUCCCCACACUAUUAUCAAUUUCCUCCUGUUGCUGCUCACUCAAAGAGCCUCAGAUGGCACAAAGAUGGGCAGCACAUGGAGUUUAUUUUAUGGCAAUAUAAAUCCCCUUUGGAAAAAACAGAUUUGCGUUUUACCCUUACUGUCAAGUAUGACUUUAAAAUAAAAUAUAUUCCCAGAGGAAUCAGGCAAGAGACAGAAAUUAUCCCUGCUAAUGACACUGGAGAACAGUUGGAGCGCCGCUAAUUGCCCACGCCUGACAUUUGUUUUUGCAGGCGCAGCAGCCGCUGUUUGAACUCCUCCAUGUGUUCACCCAGAGCAUUGGCACACAAGGAGAGCAGCGGCUGCUGCUGCUGCUGCUGCAGGGCUCCAAGUGCCACAAAUCUCCUCCUGGCAAGAGCCACCCUCUAAGGAAAAGCCCGAGGAAAGAAAGGGACGUUUGUGCAGGAGGCAGCAUGGUUCUAGAUCCCAAGGAGAGGGUUCAAAGCAGCCUUACCUUGGCAAGCAGAGCUGUGCUCAGCGCAGCCGAGUGCUCAGGAGGAAGUGAAAUGUCCCCUGCACCACUGUUUACACCAGCAAGGGGACCUGUGUGACAUCACGACGAGCCACAAAAGGUGCUGCUUGUGCUGGUGCUCAGCUGUGGCUCCAGCCCUGCUCCCAGCC